Molecule: non-coding RNA, 1059 nt
Organism: Poecilia reticulata (guppy)
Lineage: Eukaryota; Metazoa; Chordata; Actinopteri; Cyprinodontiformes; Poeciliidae
Source: RefSeq, a predicted model, not a curated record
GAGAGAGAAAGAUUAGAUUCAACAAUGUGCUUCUUUCUUCCUCCCAUGUUCAGAACCUCUUGCAAAUGAGGUUCUGAACAUUUCACACCUGGUAUAAUCUAUAAAUUAUUCAGUUGGACUCUCCAUAUAACAGCCUGGAUCCUCAUCUUGAUCAUACAGAGCUGCCAUGCAAACAACAGGAUUUCUUGUUUCCUUUUCAAUUUUUGUAAAAAAAAAAAAUAUAUUCCUCUAUAUGUCACUGCUCAAAUGUACAAGAUGUUUAACUAAUUAAAAAUAUGUCCUGUUUCUCUUUUGUGUUAAAUUUGUCAGCAACAAAUCUGAAGACACCCRGAAGCGUAGCAAGAAAUAUAGCUUUUUAGAUCUUAAAAAUCAUCCCAUUCAGCUCAUUUGCCUAUUGGAUGAUGUCAGCUUUCCAGCACUGUGAGGAUGUUACUUUUCUAACAAGCUCAAGCUGAUAUGACAUCUUUUACCUACAGAAGAGAGUUWAAGCUGUGGAGACUCACACCACAAACCCAGAAAGGAAGUGUGAUAACCAGCCAGAGAAACGACUUUGUAACUUCAUUUUUUAGUUCUKUCUAGACCCUGCAGGGCUCUCUUAAACAGACAUGAACGGAGAYAGGAGCAAACAGCGUUAUGUGUCAACCUUCAAGCUGCAGCUCCAGCCAUCACGUCCCCCAUGUGCACAAAAAAAUGGGACGAGAAYAGCAGACAUCAGGACUUCUGGAAAAUGUUCGGAACCAGAUUCACCAAAAAAUCUAAACCCACCUGUAUUUAUAAGGCCACUUGAAGACUGCUGUGUGGAUGAAGGAGCUGACUUGGUGCUAAGAGGAGUWCUCACAGGAAGUCAGCCCAUCAAAGUUACAUGGCUGCACAAUGGUAAGCAAAGAACAAGGUACAUUGUUGUAUCCUUGCUCAGUGACAUAUGUUAUUGUCUCACAAUACACACUGGUAAUCUAAAACAGAAAAAAAAGUCUGGAAUCUACAAUCCAAACAAAUCAACCUCUUACUUAUAGGAGUAGAUAAAACAUGAAUGUUGUUUUGCAAUGGAAUUAAAGCUGA